GACGAACCGUGCGAACGUUGUUCGGAAUCACUGGGCUUAAAGGGUGCGUAGGCGGACAUUCAAGUCAGGGGUGAAAUCCUCCAGCUUAACUGGAGAACUGCCUCUGAUACUGGAUGUCUCGAGUGAGGUAGGGGCGUGCGGAACUGAUGGUGGAGCGGUGAAAUGUGUUGAUAUCAUCAGGAACUCCGGUGGCGAAAGCGGCGCGCUGGACCUUAACUGACGCUGAGGCACGAAAGCCAGGGGAGCGAACGGG
Molecule: ribosomal RNA, 253 nt
Filed under: uncultured bacterium
Lineage: Bacteria
Description: partial 16S ribosomal RNA
Rfam family: Bacterial small subunit ribosomal RNA
Source: RNAcentral